UUCCUGCUGAAUAGGGGCACUGUAGUCAGGGUUUGGGUUUUGAAGCAGUGUGUCUUCAGAGUUGUUUUGCUGGAGGCGCUGAUGUCAGACUUGGUGAAGAAGGAUGGUAUUAAUGUGUUUCUAGGUGGCUGUCUGGACAAGGGAGUUCAGUCUUUGGGAGAUAACGCAGGAUAUAAAGGCCUGGAAUCCAACUUGUGCCGGUUUUUCACGCCCUGGGGAGAUACAGAAAGUCUGCUGAAGUGCUCACUAAGCUCCCAAAAAGGCAAUGCCUCCACUGCGUAGUUGAAAACGUUAACAUUUGCAAUUAUCAGCUCAACUUUUAGGAUUGAGUAAAGUGAUCUAGUCUUGGAGAGAAAGGGUAAGAGGGCUACUUUUUGGCUUCCAGGAGUUACACAGUACUCUGGUAAUGGCAGGAGAUAUUAUUAAUCCUCUCGGUCAAACUUCCUUCUGUAUGCCUGGGAUCAUGCCCUUGUGAAGCCCAAUCCACAUUGUUGGGUUUUGUUUCCCUCCUCCUAUGAUCUAAGUUAUUAAAGCCCUAAAUUCAUUCCCUGGAGUUCUGUGGGGGGAAAAACAGUCCGUUUUUAUAAAAUGAAGGAGAAACAUAAUCUAUAUUCCCUGAACUCAGGAGCAAAGCAUCUUUUGUCUAAAAACCCUUUUCUUUCAAGAAUUGUAUGUAUUACCAGAGCAUGAGAUCAUAGCCCAGCUCCUAGUGAGUCAAAAGAAAUAUAUCUACACAAAUGGAAAUUCAAAUAAACUACUUCCAACAGGGUUUAAACUAUUUGUUUAGCUUCUAAAAUAUUAACAAAAUAUUCUGAAAUAUUAUGACUUUUUUACGUGUUGCUUUUCUAUAAUAAAAGUGUUAUGGGCUGAAUCAUGUUCCCUCAAAAUUCAUAUGUUGAAGUCCUAAUCCUCAGUACCUCAGAAUGUGAUCCUAUCUUUACAAAGAUCCUAAAGUUGAAAUAAGGUAAUUAGGGUGGGACCUUAUCCCAUAUGACUGGUAUCCUUCAGAGAAGAGAUUUGGAUACACACACACACUCAGAGGGAGGACCACAGGAAAACACAUGAAGAUAACCACCUACAUGCCAAGAAAAGAGGUCUCAGAAGAAACCGACCGAGCUAACUCCUUGAUCUCAGACUUCUAGCUUCCAGCAUUGUGAGAAUAUACAUUUCUGUUAUUUAAACCACCUAAUCUGUAGUACUUUGUAUGGCAUCUCUAAUAAACUAAUACAAAAAGUGA
Molecule: non-coding RNA, 1237 nt
Organism: Macaca mulatta (Rhesus monkey)
Lineage: Eukaryota; Metazoa; Chordata; Mammalia; Primates; Cercopithecidae
Source: RefSeq, a predicted model, not a curated record